This 255-nucleotide ribosomal RNA is filed under the name uncultured bacterium. RNAcentral's name for it is "partial 16S ribosomal RNA". It matches the Rfam family "Bacterial small subunit ribosomal RNA", at positions 524 to 777 of the family's 1533-position model. The record is from RNAcentral.
UACGUAGGUGACCAGCGUUGUCCGGAUUUACUGGGCGUAAAGAGCGCGCAGGCGGUCGUUCAAGUCGAGUGUGAAAGCCCCCGGCUCAACUGGGGAGGGUCACUCGAUACUGAUCGACUUGAAGGCAGGAGAGGGAAGCGGAAUUCCCGGUGUAGUGGUGAAAUGCGUAGAUAUCGGGAGGAACACCAGUGGCGAAGGCGGCUUCCUGGCCUGUUCUUGACGCUGAGGCGGCGAAAGCUAGGGGAGCAAACGGGG